This 184-nucleotide unclassified non-coding RNA is filed under the name uncultured Inocybaceae. RNAcentral describes it as "sequence contains ITS2". Lineage: Eukaryota; Fungi; Basidiomycota; Agaricomycetes; Agaricales. The record is from RNAcentral.
AAAUUCUCAACCCCAUCAGUUGUCUGGUGUGGCUUGGAUUUGGGAGCGUUUUUUGCAGGUUUUGUCCUGCUCUCCUGAAAAAUAUUAGCGGAAUCUAGAGCAGAGACCACUGGAGGGUGUGAUAACCAUCUAUACCCUCGGUAUGCUGUGAUUGAAUCUGCUUUCUAAUCUUUUGGAUUGAAAA